ACGAACGCUGGCGGCAUGCCUAACACAUGCCAGUCGAACGAGACCUUCGGGUCUAGUGGCGCACGGGUGCGUAACGCGUGGGAACCUGCCCUUAGGUUCGGAAUAACUCCCCGCAAGGGGUGCUAAUACCGGAUAAUGUCUUCGGACCAAAGAUUUAUCGCCUUUGGAUGGGCCCGCGUUGGAUUAGCUAGUUGGUAGGGUAAAAGCCUACCAAGGCGACGAUCCAUAGCUGGUCUGAGAGGAUGAUCAGCCACACUGGGACUGAGACACGGCCCAGACUCCUACGGGAGGCAGCAGUGGGGAAUAUUGGACAAUGGGCGAAAGCCUGAUCCAGCAAUGCCGCGUGAGUGAUGAAGGCCUUAGGGUUGUAAAGCUCUUUUACCCGGGAUGAUAAUGACAGUACCGGGAGAAUAAGCUCCGGCUAACUCCGUG
RNAcentral lists this ribosomal RNA (432 nucleotides) under uncultured bacterium. RNAcentral's name for it is "partial 16S ribosomal RNA". It matches the Rfam family "Bacterial small subunit ribosomal RNA", at positions 29 to 507 of the family's 1533-position model. The record is from RNAcentral.